Molecule: unclassified non-coding RNA, 353 nt
Filed under: soil metagenome
Description: partial contains 5.8S ribosomal RNA, internal transcribed spacer 2, and large subunit ribosomal RNA
Rfam family: 5.8S ribosomal RNA (bases 1-120)
Source: RNAcentral
GAUGAAGAACGUAGCGAAAUGCGAUAAGUAAUGUGAAUUGCAGAAUUCAGUGAAUCAUCGACUCUUUGAACGCACAUUGCGCCCGCCAGUAUUCUGGCGGGCAUGCCUGUUCGAGCGUCAUUACAACCCUCAGGCCCCCGGGCCUGGCGUUGGGGAUCGGCGGAAGCCCCCUGCGGGCACAACGCCGUCCCCCAAAUACAGUGGCGGUCCCGCCGCAGCUUCCAUUGCGUAGUAGCUAACACCUCGCAACUGGAGAGCGGCGCGGCCACGCCGUAAAACACCCAACUUCUGAAUGUUGACCUCGAAUCAGGUAGGAAUACCCGCUGAACUUAAGCAUAUCAAUAAGCGGAGGA